RNAcentral lists this transfer RNA (66 nucleotides) under Onthophagus apterus. Its description in RNAcentral is "tRNA-Asn". The record is from RNAcentral. Lineage: Eukaryota; Metazoa; Arthropoda; Insecta; Coleoptera; Scarabaeidae.
UUAAUUAAAGCCAAACUAGAGGCAUAUCACUGUUAAUGAUAAAAUUGAAUUCAUAUUCUAAUUAAA